Molecule: ribosomal RNA, 1085 nt
Filed under: Vibrio splendidus
Lineage: Bacteria; Pseudomonadati; Pseudomonadota; Gammaproteobacteria; Vibrionales; Vibrionaceae
Description: bacterial SSU rRNA
Rfam family: Bacterial small subunit ribosomal RNA
Source: RNAcentral
UUGGGCGUCGAGCGGCGGACGGGUGAGUAAUGCCUAGGAAAUUGCCUUGAUGUGGGGGAUAACCAUUGGAAACGAUGGCUAAUACCGCAUAAUGCCUACGGGCCAAAGAGGGGGAUCUUCGGACCUCUCGCGUCAAGAUAUGCCUAGGUGGGAUUAGCUAGUUGGUGAGGUAAUGGCUCACCAAGGCGACGAUCCCUAGCUGGUCUGAGAGGAUGAUCAGCCACACUGGAACUGAGACACGGUCCAGACUCCUACGGGAGGCAGCAGUGGGGAAUAUUGCACAAUGGGCGAAAGCCUGAUGCAGCCAUGCCGCGUGUAUGAAGAAGGCCUUCGGGUUGUAAAGUACUUUCAGUUGUGAGGAAGGGGGUGUCGUUAAUAGCUGUAUAUCUUGACGUUAGCAACAGAAGAAGCACCGGCUAACUCCGUGCCAGCAGCCGCGGUAAUACGGAGGGUGCGAGCGUUAAUCGGAAUUACUGGGCGUAAAGCGCAUGCAGGUGGUUCAUUAAGUCAGAUGUGAAAGCCCGGGGCUCAACCUCGGAACUGCAUUUGAAACUGGUGAACUAGAGUGCUGUAGAGGGGGGUAGAAUUUCAGGUGUAGCGGUGAAAUGCGUAGAGAUCUGAAGGAAUACCAGUGGCGAAGGCGGCCCCCUGGACAGACACUGACACUCAGAUGCGAAAGCGUGGGGAGCAAACAGGAUUAGAUACCCUGGUAGUCCACGCCGUAAACGAUGUCUACUUGGAGGUUGUGGCCUUGAGCCGUGGCUUUCGGAGCUAACGCGUUAAGUAGACCGCCUGGGGAGUACGGUCGCAAGAUUAAAACUCAAAUGAAUUGACGGGGGCCCGCACAAGCGGUGGAGCAUGUGGUUUAAUUCGAUGCAACGCGAAGAACCUUACCUACUCUUGACAUCCAGAGAAGCCAGCGGAAAACGCAGGUGUGCCUUCGGGAACUCUGAGACAGGUGCUGCAUGGCUGUCGUCAGCUCGUGUUGUGAAAUGUUGGGUUAAGUCCCGCAACGAGCGCAACCCUUAUCCUUGUUUGCCAGCGAGUAAUGUCGGGAACUCCAGGGAGACUGCCGGUGAUAAACC